Molecule: antisense RNA, 97 nt
Filed under: Vibrio alginolyticus
Lineage: Bacteria; Pseudomonadati; Pseudomonadota; Gammaproteobacteria; Vibrionales; Vibrionaceae
Also listed under: 1 other name
Description: Vibrio RNA AS9
Rfam family: Vibrio RNA AS9
About the family: Identified by direct cloning an parallel sequencing experiments with 5S/tRNA depletion. Confirmed by Northern blot.
Source: RNAcentral
CAACGAUCUUUGGUCAUGGUUAAACAAAUCAGGCCACGGCCAUAGGUUGCCAUAAAGUUGAUGGCUUCCGGCGUAAUAUGCUCGGCAGCCAUGAUCA